RNAcentral lists this unclassified non-coding RNA (2313 nucleotides) under Harpegnathos saltator (Jerdon's jumping ant). Lineage: Eukaryota; Metazoa; Arthropoda; Insecta; Hymenoptera; Formicidae. The record is from RNAcentral.
UCAAUAUGGCGGAAAGAGUACGUUAGCAGGUUUUAGAUCGUGUUUUCUCGCAUUGUGAUUUUUUGAAUUAUUGAUAAUUGUUUAAUAGUGAUACAUAUUUAUCCUAUUUCACUUUCAUAAUUACGUUGAAUCCAAAACGCUAAUAUGGGAUCUAAUAAACGUCAUAAAACCGAGAAAUCUCGUGAUGCUAAGAAGAAGCGUCACCGCAGUCGCUCUAGAAGCUACACACCCGAUCGUGAGAAAUCGGAAAAGCACAGGCACCACAAAAAACACAGGAGGAAAGAGCGCAAGGAUUAUGACAGCGAUGUUGAAAUUGUUAAUGCUCCACCACCACCAAAAAUAUCAAAAUCAUCGCACCCAUCGACGCCUCCACCACCUGAAAUUUCCAAACAGCGUAGUCCUUCUCCCAUUAAAGGUGGUGCAGCACAAACCUCUUUAUCUAUCGAGGAGACCAAUAAACUUCGUGCAAAAUUAGGCUUGAAACCAUUGGAAGUCGAUAAUACAUCUAAAGAUGAUCCUAAUAAAAUCAAGGAUGAUUUAGGAGAGUUUUAUCACAAGCCUGCGCCAAAUAAUAAUGAAAAAAUAAGAGCAGAGAAACUGAGAGAAAAAUUAGGUACUCAAAAGCAAAAACGACAAAUUGAAGCAAAUUUGUCAAAAAUGAAAUCCUUGGGUGAAUGUGAUUCUGACGAUGAUACUCAUACAUGGAUUACUAAGUCCAGGCAACUGGAAGAAGAGAAGAAGAAAGCAGAGGAGAGAGCAAAAAUGUUAGAUCAAUUGGAUGAGGAAUUUGGCAUUGGUAACUUAGUCAAGGAAGAAAUACAUACUGCUCGUAACACAGCAUAUACAGAGAAAAAUCUGAAGGGUCUUAAAGUUGAACACAAUAUUAGCACAUUUGAGGAAGGCAAAACUGUGAUUCUAACAUUGAAAGAUCAAGAAGUAUUGGAUGAAAAUGAUGAUCUACUAGUAAACGUGAAUAUGAUUGAUAACGAACGCUACAAACGUAGUAUUUUGAAUAAAACUAAGAAAUCUACGUAUGAUCCGUACGAUGAUGAGAAUUUCGAUGAAUAUGGAUUUCCUAAAAGUAAGAUUCUAGAAAAAUACGAUGAAGAAAUCGAUGGCGAGAAAAAGGAUAAUUUUGUACUGGGUACUAAUAACACGGUAGAAUUGAAACGACGUCAAAUAGAAACUGUGAAGCAACGUUUAGCAAAUAAAAAGCUAGAAACCUUGCAAAUGGCCGAACCGAAAUUAGCGAGUGAAUAUUACAAUGAAGAAGAGCUGGCAAAGUUUAAGAAACCAAAAAAGAAGAUUCGCAAAAUUAGAACAAAGAAGAAGUUGAGGGCUGAUGAUUUAGUUCCUAUUGACAAUGACUAUCUUCGAGACCUUGGAAGUAGGAGAAGGAAAAAACCAGAAGACUCUAAGGAUAAUGAUGCUUUAGAUAGUGAUGAUUUAGAAGCUCCUACUGAGGAUCUUACCGGAAUAAAACUUGAAGAAGAUGAUAAGGAACUGGAACUACAAUUGGCUUUAAAGAAAGCUCAACGUUUGAAGGAAGGACAUCCCAGUGGCAUCCAAAAAACUGUUGAAACAAUAAAACAAGAGAUUCUGAAUUCGGAGGAGAAUCAACCUGGCAAUAUUGUUCUUAAUGCAACUGCAGAGUUUUGUAGAACCUUAGGAGACAUACCCACAUAUGGACUUGCUGGAAACAGAGAAGAAAAUGGACAAGAACUUAUGGAUUUCGAAAUGGAUGGAAUUAAAGAUGAGCCACCUGUGAACGAAGACGAAGAUGAUGGCCGUGGUGCUUGGAACACAGUGCAUUUAGAUGAGAACACUUCGGAACCAGUUGUGAUGGAAGCUGCAAUUUUGGAUGCAGAGCCCUCACUUGGGCAUGGAGUAGGUGGAGCUUUAAAAUUAGCAAUGAGUAAAGGAUACUUGCAAAAAGAAGACAGCAAUCGGCCAUCGGCAUCACGAUUUGCACAUUUGCAAGCUCAAAAUUAUUCGAUAGAGGAUAAAACAUACGGUUAACAGUUUUAAAUAGAGCCCGGAAAACGGUGCUCGGAACCGGUGAUCCGCUACCGCUACAAGAGUUUACGCUUAAACUCGAGGAGGCGAACAGAAGGCUGAGAAGAGAGUAGGAUUUGUUAAGAGAUGACGACAAAUUUGGCAGAAGAGACCGUUUCAACGGACCAACGUCCGAUUUUAAAGAGAAGGAUGGUUUUAAGCCGAACGUUAAGCUUGAAUACAUUGACGAUGACGGUCACGUUUUGAGCGCCAAGGAAGCUUUCCGAUAUCUAUCGCAUAAGUUUCAUGGGAAAGGAC